CACACACACGGUCGGAGAAACCACUCCUCAAACUCCUGAAGGGAAGAGGAGGAGAACGAGAGGAGUCUGUGAACGCUCACGUCUGAUGGGAGUCACACACACAACCGAGGGACGACGAAAGAGACGAGAGGAGACGCGGCUUGAGGAGUGGUUCAGCUGAUUCACAUCUGAUGAUUUCAUGACGGUAUAAAAGAGCAUGUUUAGGAGCGAUUCUCCUAGCCGAAUGCCAUUCCCAUUGCACAUGAAGAUCAAGUGUCCGCUUAUGAAAACCACAUGAGAGGAUCAGACUCUUCAAAGAUGUCAGUAAAUCUGCAGCCGUCCGUCACGAACCCUGGACAAACCUCAAACGGCCAGAAAACGACGGGAAGAUUCACCUGAAUCUACGUGACUGUGAUCGUAUACUGAGUGUGUGUUUGUGAAGGUCUUUUGCAGGAACGAGCGCUAGACGUCAGACCGCAGAUGCUCAACUGGACCACAGCUGGUCAGAUCUGCGCCUCUGAAACCUCAAUAAAUCAGCAAACGCAUAAACAGACGAGGAGGAUGCGGUUAAACUCUGGGUAAACUGGAAACACACUGUAUACGUGUCUGUCUCAACUGUUUCCUCAGCGAGAGAUGAUCAGGAUUAUCAGUAUUAUCAGUAUUUCCAAACAAAUGUGUCAUGAAAGUUCAUUCAGUAGAGGAUUUUUUUUGAGGGAAAAUGUCACAAUCAACUUGGUAAAAUAGCUUGAUCCUUAAAAAAAAAUUAUAUAUAAUUAAAUUAAAUACUGUGAAAUUUUAUAUAAUAUAUUUUUUAUGUAUAUAUGACAUAUAUUUUAAUGAAAUAUCUAAUUUAUU
Long non-coding RNA from Labeo rohita (rohu), 834 nucleotides. RefSeq lists it as uncharacterized. The transcript has 3 exons. The record is from RefSeq and is a predicted model, not a curated record. NCBI's taxonomy places the organism in Eukaryota, Metazoa, Chordata, Actinopteri, Cypriniformes, Cyprinidae.